AACCAGCACCUCAAGUGGUCAGGAUGAUUAUUGGGCCUAAAGCAUCCGUAGCUGGCUCUGUAAGUUUUCGGUCAAAUCCGUAUGCUCAACGCACAGGCUGCCGGGAAUACUGCAGUGCUAGGGAGUGGGAGAGGUAGACGGUACUUGGUAGGAAGGGGUAAAAUCCUUUGAUCUAUCGAUGACCACCUGUGGCGAAGGCGGUCUACCAGAACACGUUCGACGGUGAGGGAUGAAAGCUGGGGGAGCAAACCGG
This 253-nucleotide ribosomal RNA is filed under the name uncultured archaeon. RNAcentral describes it as "partial 16S ribosomal RNA". It matches the Rfam family "Archaeal small subunit ribosomal RNA", at positions 474 to 727 of the family's 1478-position model. The record is from RNAcentral.